GGGUUUCAUAUCUACCUCAUUUUGCACCACAAGACGACGAUCGAGUAUCAUGAAGGGGUGAGAGCUUUGUGCCUUGCAGAGAAAGGAGGAACCGUGUACAAGCAUCCGUAUGAUCUCGGGGCCUAUGAAAAUCUACCGUCGGUUUUGGGUCCAAGUGUCUUCUGCUGGAUAUGCCCCACAACGGGACACAUAGGUGACGGCCUCCGCUUCCGAACACC
Hibiscus syriacus is the source of this 218-nucleotide long non-coding RNA. RefSeq lists it as uncharacterized. NCBI's taxonomy places the organism in Eukaryota, Viridiplantae, Streptophyta, Magnoliopsida, Malvales, Malvaceae. The record is from RefSeq and is a predicted model, not a curated record. The transcript has 3 exons.